ACGGAAGGCAGCAGUGGGGAAUAUUGCACAAUGGGCGCAAGCCUGAUGCAGCGAUGCCGCGUGAGGGAAGAAGGUUUUCGGAUUGUAAACCUCUGUCAACAGGGACGAAAAUGACGGUACCUGUGAAGGAAGCUCCGGCUAACUACGUGCCAGCAGCCGCGGUAAUACGUAGGGAGCAAGCGUUAUCCGGAAUUACUGGGUGUAAGGGGAGUGUAGGCGGGACUGUAAGUCAGAUGUGAAAUAUGCCGGUUCAACUGGCAGACUGCAUUUGAAACUGCGGUUCUUGAGUGAAGUAGAGGUAAGCGGAAUUCCUAGUGUAGCGGUGAAAUGCGUAGAUAUUAGGAGGAACAUCAGUGGCGAAGGUGGCUUACUGGGCUUUAACUGACGCUGAGGCUCGAAAGCGUGGGGAGCAAACAGGAUUAGAUACCCUGGUA
This 434-nucleotide ribosomal RNA is filed under the name uncultured Ruminococcus sp. RNAcentral describes it as "partial 16S ribosomal RNA". It matches the Rfam family "Bacterial small subunit ribosomal RNA", at positions 341 to 792 of the family's 1533-position model. Lineage: Bacteria; Bacillati; Bacillota; Clostridia; Eubacteriales; Oscillospiraceae. The record is from RNAcentral.